GUUCAUUAUAUACUUUACUGCAGCGCUCCUACCGGUUAAAACACUAUAUACAGGGGCCUCCCGGGUGGCGCAGUGGUUAAGGGCUGUGCCACCAGAGACUCUGGGUUCGCUCCCAGGCUCUGUCGUAACCGGACGCGACCGGGAGGUCCGUGGGGCGACGCACAAUCAGCCUAGCGUCAUCCGGGUUAGGGAGGGUUUGGCCAGUAGGGAAAUCCUUGUCUCAUUGCGCACCAGUGACUCCUGUGGCGGGCCGGGCGCAGUGCACGCUAACACACGGCUGGCUUACAGGUUGGACGCGCGCUGUGUUAAAGAAGCAGUGCAGCUUGGUUGGGUUGUGUAUCGGAGGACGCAUGACUUUCGACCUUCGUCUCGUUGUAGCGAUGAGACAAGAUAGUAGCAACUAACAAUUGGAUACCACGAAAUUGGGGAGAAAAAGUGGGGUACAUUUUUUUUUAAAUUUAAAAAAUGACACUAUAUACAAUACUUUAUAUACCACAGCAUAUACACUAUAUACAACAGUAGUUGUGCUAAUCCCUUUCGUAAGACCGUUUUGGAACGACUAAUUUGACCCUAUUUUCUUUCACAAGCUGCAAGGAGAACGAAACGGGUUGAGAUCUCCUCCCUCAUCCCAGUUCUAUUUUGCAACUGAAGCUUUUUUCAAGUUCAUUGGGAUCCAUGACCAGCUGUGUGGUGAUCCUGUGUGAGGCAGGGGACCCCAGCACCCGGUGUGUCAGCACGGUAUCGCCACGGGAGAGAGGAC
Long non-coding RNA from Oncorhynchus tshawytscha (Chinook salmon), 760 nucleotides. NCBI's taxonomy places the organism in Eukaryota, Metazoa, Chordata, Actinopteri, Salmoniformes, Salmonidae. The record is from Ensembl.